CCCGCACAAGCGGUGAGCAUGUGGUUUAAUUCGACGUAACGCGAAGAACCUUACCAGGGCUUGACAUCUUCUGACUGCUUAAGGAACUUAAGCCUUCCGGGGAGUUUACUUUCCGGACAGAAAGACAGGUGGUGCAUGGUUGUCGUCAGCUCGUGUCGUGAGAUGUUGGGUUAAGUCCCGCAACGAGCGCAACCCCUACGGUUAGUUGCUAACGGGUAAGGCCGAGCACUUUAGCCGAACUGCCGUUGACAAAACGGAGGAAGCGGGAUGACGUCAAAUCAUCAUGCCCUUUAUGUCCUGGGCUACACACGUGCUACAAUGGCCUGUACAAAGGGCAGCAAAGGGGCAACCCGGAGCAAAUCCCAAAAAACAGGUCUCAGUUCGGAUUGCAGGCUGCAACUCGCCUGCAUGAAGUCGGAAUCGCUAGUAAUCGCAGGUCAGCAUGCCGCGGUGAAUACGUUCCCGGGCCUU
This 471-nucleotide ribosomal RNA is filed under the name uncultured Desulfotomaculum sp. Its description in RNAcentral is "bacterial SSU rRNA". It matches the Rfam family "Bacterial small subunit ribosomal RNA", at positions 920 to 1382 of the family's 1533-position model. Lineage: Bacteria; Bacillati; Bacillota; Clostridia; Eubacteriales; Desulfotomaculaceae. The record is from RNAcentral.